AGUCGUAACAAGGUUUCCGUAGGUGAACCUGCGGAAGGAUCAUUAAAAAAUUGGACUCUACGAGAGUCUAUUAAUAAUCCUCACCCUUUGUGAAUUUGUUUGUUUGAAAUAAUUUUUUAAAAAUUAUUGAAUGUCUCUCCCUAGGCUUGUCUUGCUUGUUUGAGACGCCUAGGGGAAUGGCAAACAAUAAUAUUUAAAGACCUUUUUUUAAUUAAACUUUUGUAUUCAUUUGUCUAAAAUUAUUUUUAUAAUAUAAAAACAACUUUUGACAAUGGAUCUCUUGGUUCUCGCAACGAUGAAGAACGCAGCAAAAUGCGAUAAGUAGUGUGAAUUGCAGAAUACGUGAAUCAUCAAAUCUUCGAACGCAUAUUGCACUUUUUUAGUUUACUAAAAAGUAUGUCUGUUUGAGUAUCAGUAAAAUAUUCUCAUAAAAAACAUUGUUUUUUUAUGGUUAUGAGUGUUUUACAACGAUAACAAGUUGUUUCACUUUAAAUUCUUUGUUCAUCAAAAAAAUCAUUAAAACUAAUUUUAAAGAUUUUUUUAAAAUUGGAUAAAAUUUUCCCGUAAAAAGGAAUAACCUAAACAAUUUUAAAAAAUAUUAAAAUUAGUGAUUUUUUCUGAUAUAAAAAGGAAAAAGUUAAAUUAACUUGAUCUCAAAUCAGAUAAGAGUACCCGCUGACUUAAGCAUAUCAAUAAGCGGAGGAAAAGAAACUAACUAGGAUUCCCUCGGUAACGGCGAGUGAAGCGGGAAGAGCUCAAAUUUGAAAUCUUCAAGGUUCUACCUUGACGAAUUGUAGUUUAAAGAAGUGUUUUCUGUUGGAAUUUUGGUAAAAGUUCUUUGGAAUAGACAUCAUAGAGGGUGAGAAUCCCGUAUUUGACCAUUAUUUCCAGCUUUGUGAUACACUUUCAAAGAGUCGGAUUGUUUGGGAAUGCAGUCCAAAAUAGGUGGUAAAUUUCAUCUAAAGCUAAAUAUUGGCGAGAGACCGAUAGCGAACAAGUACCGUGAGGGAAAGAUGAAAAGAACUUUGAAAAGAGAGUUAAACAGUACGUGAAAUUGUCAAAAGGGAAGCGUUUGACACCAGUGUUGUUUUCUCGAAAAUCAAUUAAAAAGAUUGGAUUUUGUGUUGUAUCGACUUUAUCAGCUUUCUGCACUCUUUUCUUGUCUUUUUUAAUGCACUUUUCGUUUAACAAGUCAACAUCAAUUUCUUUUGUUGUAAAAGAGUCAUUGGAAGGUGGCUUCCUUUCGGAGAAAGUGUUUAUAGCCUUUGGCUUCUGCAAUCGGAGAGAUUGAGGUCUGCAGCGUAGAUCCUCGGGGUUAGAUACAUUUGUGCUAAGUUAUAACUUUUUAUAGACAACUUGUUGACUAUAAUUAGUCAUGUAGCUUACUCGCUUAUGCUAUCUUACCUACGCUUAGGAUGUUGAG
Molecule: unclassified non-coding RNA, 1423 nt
Filed under: uncultured Neocallimastigales
Lineage: Eukaryota; Fungi; Neocallimastigomycota; Neocallimastigomycetes; Neocallimastigales
Description: partial contains small subunit ribosomal RNA, internal transcribed spacer 1, 5.8S ribosomal RNA, internal transcribed spacer 2, and large subunit ribosomal RNA
Rfam family: Eukaryotic large subunit ribosomal RNA (bases 649-1423)
Source: RNAcentral